CCUACGGGAGGCUGCAGUGGGGAAUAUUGGACAAUGGGCGAAGGCCUGAUCCAGCCAUGCCGCGUGUGUGAAGAAGGCCUUCGGGUUGUAAAGCACUUUCAGUGGGGAAGAAAGCCUUGGGGCUAAUACCCUCGAGGAAGGACAUCACCCACAGAAGAAGCACCGGCUAACUCCGUGCCAGCAGCCGCGGUAAUACGGAGGGUGCGAGCGUUAAUCGGAAUUACUGGGCGUAAAGCGCGCGUAGGCGGUCUGAUAAGCCGGUUGUGAAAGCCCCGGGCUCAACCUGGGAACGGCAUCCGGAACUGUCAGGCUAGAGUGCAGGAGAGGAAGGUAGAAUUCCCGGUGUAGCGGUGAAAUGCGUAGAGAUCGGGAGGAAUACCAGUGGCGAAGGCGGCCUUCUGGACUGACACUGACGCUGAGGUGCGAAAGCGUGGGUAGCAAACAGGAUUAGAUACCCCAGUAGUC
This 465-nucleotide ribosomal RNA is filed under the name Vreelandella stevensii. RNAcentral's name for it is "partial 16S ribosomal RNA". It matches the Rfam family "Bacterial small subunit ribosomal RNA", at positions 338 to 795 of the family's 1533-position model. The record is from RNAcentral. Lineage: Bacteria; Pseudomonadati; Pseudomonadota; Gammaproteobacteria; Oceanospirillales; Halomonadaceae.